CCUUUCGAGGCUUCUCGCCAAUUUGGACCCGGAUAAAUACUGCCUCCUUCUGACUUACUGAGCUGUUGUCUUUCGCUUUCUCCAGCUCACACCACAGUCAUCACUCAGCUCUGCUUUCUCCCAGGCGAGUGCGCUCACAACUGACGAGGACGGCACCCGCUUGACCUACAUGCAGUGUUCCGUGUCGAGAGGGACGUCGGUGUAACGACUGUUAACGGCGUGCGGCGAUUUCAGACGUCACUUUCUCCUGCAAGCCGGAAGGUCCUGAUGGAUUAGGUGGCCCCGGGCCGGCAGCUCCGCACCUUUUAGCAAUCUGUGCCAAAACUACCGCCUCAGCAGACUGGUGUUGUGGACUUAGAGCCGGCAGGAGGCUGCUAGCUGUGGUCAUUUCUUCCCUGUGAAUUAUUUAUGUUCUCUUUAGAAAAUAAAACUGUCACAUCGCAGGAAAGAAGUGG
This is a long non-coding RNA of Gasterosteus aculeatus aculeatus (three-spined stickleback), 455 nucleotides long. NCBI's taxonomy places the organism in Eukaryota, Metazoa, Chordata, Actinopteri, Perciformes, Gasterosteidae. The record is from Ensembl.